This 460-nucleotide ribosomal RNA is filed under the name uncultured bacterium. RNAcentral describes it as "partial 16S ribosomal RNA". It matches the Rfam family "Bacterial small subunit ribosomal RNA", at positions 338 to 795 of the family's 1533-position model. The record is from RNAcentral.
CCUACGGGGUGCAGCAGUGAGGAAUAUUGGUCAAUGGGCGGAAGCCUGAACCAGCCAAGUCGCGUGAGGGAUUAAGGCCCUGCGGGUCGUAAACCUCUUUUGCCGGGGAGCAGAGGUCCGGACGUGUCCGGGCCGGGAGAGUACCCGGAGAAAAAGCAUCGGCUAACUCCGUGCCAGCAGCCGCGGUAAUACGGAGGAUGCGAGCGUUAUCCGGAUUUAUUGGGUUUAAAGGGUGCGUAGGCGGGCAUUUAAGCCGGCGGUCAAAUGUCGGGGCUCAAACCCGGCCUGCCGUCGGAACUGGGUGCUGUGAGUGGGCGAGAAGUAUGCGGAAUGCGUGGUGUAGCGGUGAAAUGCAUAGAUAGCACGCAGAACCCCGAUUGCGAAGGCAGCAUACCGGCGCCCUACUGACGCUGAGGCACGAAAGUGCGGGUAUCGAACAGGAUUAGAUACCCGAGUAGUC